UACAGAGGUCCCAAGCGUUGUUCGGAUUCACUGGGCGUAAAGGGUGCGCAGGUGGUGGGGUAAGUCGGAUGUGAAAGCUCGGAGCUCAACUCCGAAAUGGCAUUGGAAACUACCCUGCUAGAGGAUUGGAGGGGGGACUGGAAUACUUGGUGUAGCAGUGAAAUGCGUAGAUAUCAAGUGGAACACCAGUGGCGAAGGCGAGUCCCUGGACAAUACCUGACACUGAGGCACGAAAGCUAGGGGAGCAAACAGG
This 253-nucleotide ribosomal RNA is filed under the name uncultured bacterium. Its description in RNAcentral is "partial 16S ribosomal RNA". It matches the Rfam family "Bacterial small subunit ribosomal RNA", at positions 524 to 776 of the family's 1533-position model. The record is from RNAcentral.